UACGGAGGGUGCAAGCGUUGUUCGGAAUUAUUGGGCGUAAAGGGCAGGUAGGUGGUCCCAAAAGUCUACUGUGAAAUCCCUGGGCUUAACUCGGGAAGUGCGGUAGAUACUCUGGGACUAGAGUGCUGGAGGGGUUCGUGGAAUUCCCGGUGUAGCGGUGAAAUGCGCAGAUAUCAGGAAGAACACCCGUGGCGAAGGCGGCUCUCUGGGACGGUACUGACGCUGAGACGCGAAAGCGUGGGGAGCGAACAGG
RNAcentral lists this ribosomal RNA (253 nucleotides) under uncultured bacterium. RNAcentral describes it as "partial 16S ribosomal RNA". It matches the Rfam family "Bacterial small subunit ribosomal RNA", at positions 524 to 776 of the family's 1533-position model. The record is from RNAcentral.